GCGCCCGUAGCUCAGCUCGGAUAGAGCGCAGGCUUGCGGAGCCUGAGGCCCCAGGUUCGAAUCCUGGCGGGCGCG
This 75-nucleotide transfer RNA is filed under the name Candidatus Palauibacterales bacterium. Its description in RNAcentral is "tRNA-Arg". It matches the Rfam family "tRNA". Rfam says of the family: Transfer RNA (tRNA) molecules are approximately 80 nucleotides in length. Their secondary structure includes four short double-helical elements and three loops (D, anti-codon, and T loops). Further hydrogen bonds mediate the characteristic L-shaped molecular structure. tRNAs have two regions of fundamental functional importance: the anti-codon, which is responsible for specific mRNA codon recognition, and the 3' end, to which the tRNAs corresponding amino acid is attached (by aminoacyl-tRNA synthetases). tRNAs cope with the degeneracy of the genetic code in two manners: having more than one tRNA (with a specific anti-codon) for a particular amino acid; and 'wobble' base-pairing, i.e. permitting non-standard base-pairing at the 3rd anti-codon position. RNAcentral also lists the same sequence under 1 other name. The record is from RNAcentral. Lineage: Bacteria; Pseudomonadati; Gemmatimonadota; Gemmatimonadia; Candidatus Palauibacterales.